GACGAACGCUGGCGGCGUGCUUAACACAUGCAAGUCGAACGGAAGGGCCCUGCUUUUGUGGGGUGCUCGAGUGGCGAACGGGUGAGUAACACGUGAGUAACCUGCCCUUGACUUUGGGAUAACUUCAGGAAACUGGGGCUAAUACCGGAUAGGAGCUCCUGCUGCAUGGUGGGGGUUGGAAAGUUUCGGCGGUUGGGGAUGGACUCGCGGCUUAUCAGCUUGUUGGUGGGGUAGUGGCUUACCAAGGCUUUGACGGGUAGCCGGCCUGAGAGGGUGACCGGCCACAUUGGGGCUGAGAUAAGGCCCAGAAUCCUACGGGAGGCAGCAGGGGGGAAAAUUGCACAAUGGGGGGAAGCCUGAUGCAGCAACGCCGCGUGCGGGAUGACGGCCUUCGGGUUGGAAAACGCUUUCGCCUGUGACGAAGCGUGAGUGACGGUAAUGGGUAAAGAAGCAACGGCUAACUACGUG
RNAcentral lists this ribosomal RNA (468 nucleotides) under uncultured bacterium. RNAcentral's name for it is "partial 16S ribosomal RNA". It matches the Rfam family "Bacterial small subunit ribosomal RNA", at positions 28 to 507 of the family's 1533-position model. The record is from RNAcentral.